RNAcentral lists this ribosomal RNA (425 nucleotides) under uncultured bacterium. Its description in RNAcentral is "partial 16S ribosomal RNA". It matches the Rfam family "Bacterial small subunit ribosomal RNA", at positions 354 to 796 of the family's 1533-position model. The record is from RNAcentral.
GUGGGGAAUAUUGGGCAAUGGGCGAAAGCCUGACCCAGCAACGCCGCGUGAAGGAAGAAGGUCUUCGGAUCGUAAACUUCUAUCCUUGGUGAAGAUAAUGACGGUAGCCGAGAAGGAAGCCCCGGCUAACUACGUGCCAGCAGCCGCGGUAAUACGUAGGGGGCAAGCGUUGUCCGGAAUGAUUGGGCGUAAAGGGCGCGUAGGCGGCCUGGUAAGUCUGGAGUGAAAGUCCUGCUUUUAAGGUGGGAAUUGCUUUGGAUACUGUCGGGCUUGAGUGCAGGAGAGGUAAGUGGAAUUCCCGGUGUAGCGGUGAAAUGCGUAGAGAUCGGGAGGAACACCAGUGGCGAAGGCGGCUUACUGGACUGUAACUGACGCUGAGGCACGAAAGUGUGGGGAGCAAACAGGAUUAGAAACCCCUGUAGUCC